RNAcentral lists this transfer RNA (72 nucleotides) under Camelus bactrianus (Bactrian camel). It matches the Rfam family "tRNA". Rfam says of the family: Transfer RNA (tRNA) molecules are approximately 80 nucleotides in length. Their secondary structure includes four short double-helical elements and three loops (D, anti-codon, and T loops). Further hydrogen bonds mediate the characteristic L-shaped molecular structure. tRNAs have two regions of fundamental functional importance: the anti-codon, which is responsible for specific mRNA codon recognition, and the 3' end, to which the tRNAs corresponding amino acid is attached (by aminoacyl-tRNA synthetases). tRNAs cope with the degeneracy of the genetic code in two manners: having more than one tRNA (with a specific anti-codon) for a particular amino acid; and 'wobble' base-pairing, i.e. permitting non-standard base-pairing at the 3rd anti-codon position. The record is from Rfam by way of RNAcentral. Lineage: Eukaryota; Metazoa; Chordata; Mammalia; Artiodactyla; Camelidae. RNAcentral also lists the same sequence under 2 other names.
GAAGGUAUAGCUCAGUGGUAGAGUGCUUGCCUAGCAUGUACAAGAUCUUGGGUUCAAUUCCCAGUACCUCUG